AUUGAACGCUGGCGGCAGGCCUAACACAUGCAAGUCGAGCGGAUGAAGGGAGCUUGCUCCUGGAUUCAGCGGCGGACGGGUGAGUAAUGCCUAGGAAUCUGCCUGGUAGUGGGGGAUAACGUCCGGAAACGGGCGCUAAUACCGCAUACGUCCUGAGGGAGAAAGUGGGGGAUCUUCGGACCUCACGCUAUCAGAUGAGCCUAGGUCGGAUUAGCUAGUUGGUGGGGUAAGGGCCUACCAAGGCGACGAUCCGUAACUGGUCUGAGAGGAUGAUCAGUCACACUGGAACUGAGACACGGUCCAGACUCCUACGGGAGGCAGUAGUGGGGAAUAUUGGACAAUGGGCGAAAGCCUGAUCCAGCCAUGCCGCGUGUGUGAAGAAGGUCUUCGGAUUGUAAAGCACUUUAAGUUGGGAGGAAGGGCAGUAAGUUAAUACCUUGCUGUUUUGACGUUACCAACAGAAUAAGCACCGGCUAACUUCGUG
Molecule: ribosomal RNA, 484 nt
Filed under: uncultured bacterium
Lineage: Bacteria
Description: partial 16S ribosomal RNA
Rfam family: Bacterial small subunit ribosomal RNA
Source: RNAcentral